RNAcentral lists this ribosomal RNA (454 nucleotides) under uncultured bacterium. Its description in RNAcentral is "partial 16S ribosomal RNA". It matches the Rfam family "Bacterial small subunit ribosomal RNA", at positions 28 to 507 of the family's 1533-position model. The record is from RNAcentral.
GAUGAACGCUGACAGAAUGCUUAACACAUGCAAGUCUAGCUGAACUUCGGUUUGGGUGGCGGACGGGCGAGUAACGCGUACAGGACUGUCACCACAGUUAGGGACAACAUUUGGAAACGAAUGAUAAUACCAGACAUUAUGUAAUUAGGGCUAACAAGGAUUAUGAAAGCUAUAUGUGCUGUGAGAGGGCUUUGCGUUCCAUUAGCGAGUUGGAGAGGUAACGGCUCAUCAUGGCGAUGAUGGGUAGCCGGCCUGGGAGGGUGAAAGGCCACAAGGGCACGGAGACACGGCCCGUACGGCUACGGGAGGCAGCAGUGGAGAAUAUUGGACGAUGGACCAAAAGUCUGAUCCAGGUAUUCUGUGUGCACGAUGACGUUUUUCGGAAUGUAAAGUGCUUUCAGUUAGGAAGAAAAAAAUGACGGUACCAACAGAAGAAGUGACGGCUAAAUACGUG